GCGGUGGUAGCUCAAUUGGUAGAGCGCCAGUCCUCCAAACUGGAUAUUGCGGGUCCGAUCCCCGUCCACCGCU
Molecule: transfer RNA, 73 nt
Filed under: Caudoviricetes sp.
Lineage: Duplodnaviria; Heunggongvirae; Uroviricota; Caudoviricetes
Description: tRNA-Gly
Rfam family: tRNA
About the family: Transfer RNA (tRNA) molecules are approximately 80 nucleotides in length. Their secondary structure includes four short double-helical elements and three loops (D, anti-codon, and T loops).
Source: RNAcentral